Non-coding RNA from Erwinia tracheiphila, 154 nucleotides. NCBI's taxonomy places the organism in Bacteria, Pseudomonadati, Pseudomonadota, Gammaproteobacteria, Enterobacterales, Erwiniaceae. The record is from Rfam.
UUGCAGGUGAGAGUCCUGCCACGGUAGUUGGUUAAUUUGACCGUGUAGCUAUGGCGUACGUGUGGAAGGUGACUGAAACGCGGGAACAGCGCCGGAUAAACGUUGUCCCAGCCCCAGACAGUGGGCGCGCGCAAAUACACAGCCCGUAACUGAC